CCUACGGGUGGCAGCAGUGAGGAAUAUUGGUCAAUGGACGAGAGUCUGAACCAGCCAAGUAGCGUGAAGGAUGACUGCCCUAUGGGUUGUAAACUUCUUUUAUAUGGGAAUAAAAUGUUCCACGUGUGGGAGUUUGUAUGUACCAGAUGAAUAAGGAUCGGCUAACUCCGUGCCAGCAGCCGCGGUAAUACGGAGGAUCCGAGCGUUAUCCGGAUUUAUUGGGUUUAAAGGGUGCGUAGGUGGAUUGUUAAGUCAGUUGUGAAAGUUUGGGGCUCAACCGUAAAAUUGCAGUUGAAACUGGCAGUCUUGAGUUCAGUAGAGGUAGGCGGAAUGCGUGGUGUAGCGGUGAAAUGCUUAGAUAUCACGAAGAACUCCGAUUGCGAAGGCAGCUCACUGGACUGCAACUGACACUGAGGCUCGAAAGUGUGGGUAUCAAACAGGAUUAGAUACCCUAGUAGUC
RNAcentral lists this ribosomal RNA (460 nucleotides) under uncultured bacterium. RNAcentral describes it as "partial 16S ribosomal RNA". It matches the Rfam family "Bacterial small subunit ribosomal RNA", at positions 338 to 795 of the family's 1533-position model. The record is from RNAcentral.